GCAAACUUGGUCAUUUAGAGGAAGUAAAAGUCGUAACAAGGUUUCCGUAGGUGAACCUGCGGAAGGAUCAUUACUGAAGUGCUGGGAGAUGUUGCUGGCUUCUAUUAGGAGCAAUGUGUGCACUCUUCCAACCUUUCCCUUCACACCCCUUGUGCACUCUUUGUAGGGCCCCUCUCAGGCUUAUAAACUUGAAAGGAAGACUCUAUGUUUUUUUGCUACCUCCUUCACACUUAUUGGAAUGUAUGGUUGUUAUUUUAUAAAAAAAGAAACAACUUUCAACAAUGGAUCUCUUGGCUCUCGCAUCGAUGAAGAACGCAGC
This 319-nucleotide unclassified non-coding RNA is filed under the name uncultured fungus. Its description in RNAcentral is "partial contains small subunit ribosomal RNA, internal transcribed spacer 1, and 5.8S ribosomal RNA". The stretch from base 1 to 73 matches the Rfam family "Eukaryotic small subunit ribosomal RNA", at positions 1759 to 1831 of the family's 1831-position model. Lineage: Eukaryota; Fungi. The record is from RNAcentral.